AUCCAGACUCCUACGGGAGGCAGCAGUGGGGAAUAUUGCACAAUGGGGGAAACCCUGAUGCAGCGACGCCGCGUGAGCGAUGAAGUAUUUCGGUAUGUAAAGCUCUAUCAGCAGGGAAGAAGAUGACGGUACCUGACUAAGAAGCCCCGGCUAACUACGUGCCAGCAGCCGCGGUAAUACGUAGGGGGCAAGCGUUAUCCGGAUUUACUGGGUGUAAAGGGAGCGUAGACGGCGAUGCAAGCCAGAUGUGAAAGCCCGGGGCUCAACCCCGGGACUGCAUUUGGAACUGUGUGGCUGGAGUGUCGGAGAGGCAGGCGGAAUUCCUAGUGUAGCGGUGAAAUGCGUAGAUAUUAGGAGGAACACCAGUGGCGAAGGCGGCCUGCUGGACGAUGACUGACGUUGAGGCUCGAAAGCGUGGGGAGCAAACAGGAUUAGAUACCCCCGUA
This 446-nucleotide ribosomal RNA is filed under the name uncultured bacterium. RNAcentral's name for it is "bacterial SSU rRNA". It matches the Rfam family "Bacterial small subunit ribosomal RNA", at positions 329 to 792 of the family's 1533-position model. The record is from RNAcentral.